AGCUGGUGCCCAGGUGCUGGCAGCGGGGGCUGCAGGGUUGCUGUGUUAGGCGUGGCCGAGGCCCUGCAGCCAAAAUGGCGGCGCCUCAGGGAAGGGCUUUAAGGAGAGCAAAAUGCUGCACAGACAGACAGGUGGCAGCAAGGAGGGGAAUAACAAAGUCAGAAACGGCUGAGGGAACACCAUGAUUGGGGAAGAGGAGAGGAGGAGGUGCUGGGGCAGAUCUCCCCUGCAGCCCAUGGUGGAGCAAGUGUCUAUUACCUGAAGGGCUGCCGCCUGUGGGAGAGAGCCCACACUGAAGCAGGGCAGAAGUGUUAGAGGGAAGAAGCUGCAGAGAGAAGCCACUUUGUACUGACUAACAGUGCUUUGUGCUGCCCAAAACCACACUGCUGGGAUGGGAAGAGAGGUAUUGGGAGUGAGGGAGUGCAGAUAAGUCUGGGUAACAGAGGAGGAAAGGUCUCAUUUUAGUCUUUGUCUUGUCUUUCACUGUCUGAAUUUAUGAUAAUUGGUGAUGAAAACAAUGUUCGAAAUAGACACAGGAGAAUAAGCAAUGACUGAAUAACAAACAGUGACUAGCUGCUGCCUUUGUUUGCACGUGGAUAUUGUUUGCAUGAGUACAAAGUAUUGAACAAACCAAAGCACUUCCUCAUACUUCAUAGGCCAUGGUUUUUGCUGGACCAAAGAAAAACAAAUCCAAGAUUCUCCACUGAAGCCUGUAAUUACGUGGUGCCAUUCCAGUCUAGCUGAGUGCAGAAUCAAGACCUGCGUGUUUUGACCACCUGAGCCAUGGUCCUCCACUUGCCCACACAGCUCCUAGCCACUAACUGACAUUUCCAGAGAUUUCAGCUGACAACCAGAUCUGGCUGACAGAAGUCAAGAUACAGAGGUUCUUUUCUAUGUACUUGUAGUUCAUCUACAGCACAAAUGAAACAAGUGUGUCCCUUACCAUUGAUCUUUUUCUAUCGUUUGAGCAAUGAAUAUGUUGAAGUGUUGCUGUAAACAGGGUGGGAAUACUACUGCUGUGCAUCAGGAGUAAAACAAAUAAGACAAGACAGUAAAAAAAAGAUGCUUUCUUGCUGAAACAGACCAAAUCACAGCAUGGAACAUUAUUACAGAAUCUGACAGCAGAGCACUAAUUUGCUUCUUUGAAUGAUGCAGAUUCAAUCAAUAAAUCUCCAGCUAUCAGAGUAAAUCCUUCAGGAAGAUAAACCAAAACCAGAAAAUCAGAAUUUGCUCUUCUUUCCACAAAACAUUUAAAACAUUUAACUAUUUUUUUUCCUGCUGUGCCUUCUUAGUAAAGUAUUGAGUCUAUUCUAAAGCUAUGCUUUAUUUUCAUCACACAAGCAUAUCAACCUGCCUGUACUCCCAUUACUUAAAAAAAUACUUUAGUGAAUUAAAAGGAUUAUGAAGACUUCUCAGGGUGCAGAUAUAUAAACACUUGCCAGGUGAUAAUCCAACUUGAGAGGAAAGCCCAGCAACUAUAUAAGAAUGCAGAUUAUACAUUAAAAUAUAGCCUGGGAGGGCAUGUCAGAUUCAGCUCUGAUUUAUGUAUCUUCAAUGGCUGGGGUCAGCCUUAGUUAAAAGGAGCUAUUGCAUGAGUUCAGACAGUUUUAAAACUGGAACUGUUUGACUUGCUGCAGUCUAUUUCAUUCAUAAAUUCUUUACUAUAAUAUUUGCUUAAAAAUCAUGUCUGAUACUGGCCAUCAGGUCCAGCUUCAGUGAGCCAGUGAACUAUUUCUACACAGCUUCAGUUCUACAAGUUACUUCAAGUCUGUGCCUUACUCCCUAAGGUCAAGUCAAAGCUGUAUGUUAAAAUCUAUGCCAAAUCAGGGAUUAAAUCCUACAUUCUGUAUCCCCAGCCCCACAUACUCUGUGUAUGCAUGGCCAAACCAAACAAAGAAAAGAAAGAGGUGGUUAGUAUUAGCAAUACUUGGCAUGUGAGGGGAGUAGAAAGAUCUACAGAGUUUCCUGAAGGGCUUCUUUUAGCCCUGUUUUCUAUGAUUCUCUUUCUUGACGGCAAGACAGAAGUUGACUAAAAUUCUGGACAGAGUGGAAAAUUCAGUCUCUUGUAAGUCCUUUUAUGGAUGAUAACAAAAGGAGGAGAUGCACCAUCCUAUGCCUUCCCUGCUGCCUGGUAAGGGGUUGGGUGGCAGAGUAGGGGAGGGAAUGAUGGCUUCUGCAGAAGAGAACUCUGAAGCUCUAUGGAGGGAAAAACUGACAUGUCCUGAUAGGACAGAGUGACCUUGGCAGACCAUACACAUAAAGUUAAGGGGAUGGAUACCACUAAGAAAAUGAACAGAAUAGUAAGUGCAAAACUGAACUUCAAAAAGCAGCGUUCUACCAUGCCAGUGAGUUCCCCAUCACUGCUAUCACUGCAAGAGACUCAGUUAGCUGAAUUUUCUGAAACUCUUACACAAUGCUUUUUGAAUCACUAAUUGUGGUUGUUAAGCUGUAAAGUACCUCUGUUCUGGCAAAAAGAAAUGAAUCUAAGUCAUACACCUGCAAACCUAGAAAGGGUUAGACAGUAUCAAUUAAAACAAACAAACAAAAAAAAACAAA
Molecule: long non-coding RNA, 2556 nt
Organism: Anas platyrhynchos (mallard)
Lineage: Eukaryota; Metazoa; Chordata; Aves; Anseriformes; Anatidae
Source: RefSeq, a predicted model, not a curated record